GGUCCCGUAGUGUACCGGUUAUCACGUCGCCCUGUCACGGCGAAGAUCGCGGGUUCGAUUCCCGUCGGGACCG
RNAcentral lists this transfer RNA (73 nucleotides) under Streptococcus pyogenes. Its description in RNAcentral is "tRNA-Asp". It matches the Rfam family "tRNA". Rfam says of the family: Transfer RNA (tRNA) molecules are approximately 80 nucleotides in length. Their secondary structure includes four short double-helical elements and three loops (D, anti-codon, and T loops). The record is from RNAcentral. Lineage: Bacteria; Bacillati; Bacillota; Bacilli; Lactobacillales; Streptococcaceae.